This 441-nucleotide ribosomal RNA is filed under the name uncultured bacterium. Its description in RNAcentral is "partial 16S ribosomal RNA". It matches the Rfam family "Bacterial small subunit ribosomal RNA", at positions 338 to 795 of the family's 1533-position model. The record is from RNAcentral.
CCUACGGGAGGCAGCAGUGGGGAAUAUUGCACAAUGGGGGAAACCCUGAUGCAGCGACGCCGCGUGAGUGAAGAAGUAUUUCGGUAUGUAAAGCUCUAUCAGCAGGAACGAGACAAGACGGUACCUGACUAAGAAGCCCCGGCUAACUACGUGCCAGCAGCCGCGGUAAUACGUAGGGGGCAAGCGUUAUCCGGAAUCACUGGGUGGAAAGGGAGCGUAGACGGCUGAGCAAGCCUGAAGUGAAAGGCGGGGGCCCAACCCCUGGACUGCUUUGGGAACUGUACGGCUGGAGUGCAGGAGAGGUAAGUGGAAUUCCUAGUGUAGCGGUGAAAUGCGUAGAUAUUAGGAGGAACACCAGUGGCGAAGGCGGCUUACUGGACUGUAACUGACGUUGAGGCUCGAAAGCGUGGGGAGCAAACAGGAUUAGAUACCCCUGUAGUC